This 465-nucleotide ribosomal RNA is filed under the name Vreelandella stevensii. Its description in RNAcentral is "partial 16S ribosomal RNA". It matches the Rfam family "Bacterial small subunit ribosomal RNA", at positions 338 to 795 of the family's 1533-position model. Lineage: Bacteria; Pseudomonadati; Pseudomonadota; Gammaproteobacteria; Oceanospirillales; Halomonadaceae. The record is from RNAcentral.
CCUACGGGUGGCUGCAGUGGGGAAUAUUGGACAAUGGGCGAAAGCCUGAUCCAGCCAUGCCGCGUGUGUGAAGAAGGCCUUCGGGUUGUAAAGCACUUUCAGUGGGGAAGAAAGCCUUGGGGCUAAUACCCUCGAGGAAGGACAUCACCCACAGAAGAAGCACCGGCUAACUCCGUGCCAGCAGCCGCGGUAAUACGGAGGGUGCGAGCGUUAAUCGGAAUUACUGGGCGUAAAGCGCGCGUAGGCGGUCUGAUAAGCCGGUUGUGAAAGCCCCGGGCUCAACCUGGGAACGGCAUCCGGAACUGUCAGGCUAGAGUGCAGGAGAGGAAGGUAGAAUUCCCGGUGUAGCGGUGAAAUGCGUAGAGAUCGGGAGGAAUACCAGUGGCGAAGGCGGCCUUCUGGACUGACACUGACGCUGAGGUGCGAAAGCGUGGGUAGCAAACAGGAGUAGAUACCCCAGUAGUC